Molecule: transfer RNA, 73 nt
Filed under: Candidatus Woesearchaeota archaeon
Lineage: Archaea; Nanobdellati; Candidatus Woesearchaeota
Description: tRNA-Trp
Rfam family: tRNA
About the family: Transfer RNA (tRNA) molecules are approximately 80 nucleotides in length. Their secondary structure includes four short double-helical elements and three loops (D, anti-codon, and T loops).
Source: RNAcentral
GGGGGUAUGGUGUAAUCCGGUAGCAUAGCCGGCUCCAAACCGGCUGAUCUGGGUUCAAAUCCCAGUACCCCCA